RNAcentral lists this ribosomal RNA (1452 nucleotides) under uncultured organism. RNAcentral describes it as "SSU rRNA". It matches the Rfam family "Bacterial small subunit ribosomal RNA". The record is from RNAcentral.
ACGCUAGCUACAGGCUUAACACAUGCAAGUCGAGGGGCAGCAUUUUAGUUUGCUUGCAAACUGAAGAUGGCGACCGGCGCACGGGUGAGUAACACGUAUCCAACCUGCCGAUAACUCCGGAAUAGCCUUUCGAAAGAAAGAUUAAUACCGGAUAGCAUACGAAUAUCGCAUGAUAUUUUUAUUAAAGAAUUUCGGUUAUCGAUGGGGAUGCGUUCCAUUAGUUUGUUGGCGGGGUAACGGCCCACCAAGACUACGAUGGAUAGGGGUUCUGAGAGGAAGGUCCCCCACAUUGGAACUGAGACACGGUCCAAACUCCUACGGGAGGCAGCAGUGAGGAAUAUUGGUCAAUGGGCGAGAGCCUGAACCAGCCAAGUAGCGUGAAGGAUGAAGGCUCUAUGGGUCGUAAACUUCUUUUAUAUGGGAAUAAAGUUUUCCACGUGUGGAAUUUUGUAUGUACCAUAUGAAUAAGGAUCGGCUAACUCCGUGCCAGCAGCCGCGGUAAUACGGAGGAUCCGAGCGUUAUCCGGAUUUAUUGGGUUUAAAGGGAGCGUAGGUGGAUUGUUAAGUCAGUUGUGAAGGUUUGCGGCUCAACCGUAAAAUUGCAGUUGAAACUGGCAGUCUUGAGUACAGUAGAGGUGGGCGGAAUUCGUGGUGUAGCGGUGAAAUGCUUAGAUAUCACGAAGAACUCCGAUUGCGAAGGCAGCUCACUAGACUGUCACUGACACUGAUGCUCGAAAGUGUGGGUAUCAAACAGGAUUAGAUACCCUGGUAGUCCACACAGUAAACGAUGAAUACUCGCUGUUUGCGAUAUACAGUAAGCGGCCAAGCGAAAGCAUUAAGUAUUCCACCUGGGGAGUACGCCGGCAACGGUGAAACUCAAAGGAAUUGACGGGGGCCCGCACAAGCGGAGGAACAUGUGGUUUAAUUCGAUGAUACGCGAGGAACCUUACCCGGGCUUAAAUUGCAACAGAAUAUAUUGGAAACAGUAUAGCCGUAAGGCUGUUGUGAAGGUGCUGCAUGGUUGUCGUCAGCUCGUGCCGUGAGGUGUCGGCUUAAGUGCCAUAACGAGCGCAACCCUUAUCUUUAGUUACUAACAGGUUAUGCUGAGGACUCUAGAGAGACUGCCGUCGUAAGAUGUGAGGAAGGUGGGGAUGACGUCAAAUCAGCACGGCCCUUACGUCCGGGGCUACACACGUGUUACAAUGGGGGGUACAGAAGGCGGCUACCUGGUGACAGGAUGCUAAUCCCAAAAACCUCUCUCAGUUCGGAUCGAAGUCUGCAACCCGACUUCGUGAAGCUGGAUUCGCUAGUAAUCGCGCAUCAGCCAUGGCGCGGUGAAUACGUUCCCGGGCCUUGUACACACCGCCCGUCAAGCCAUGAAAGCCGGGGGUACCUGAAGUACGUAACCGCAAGGAGCGUCCUAGGGUAAAACUGGUAAUUGGGGCUAAGUCA